UUUCUCCACCUAAAGUACAUUAAAAAAAAAUUCUUUUCUUCUAGCUUAUCGAAACCAACAUGAAUUUCCAUCUACAGAACAUUGUUUCACACGGGAGAAAAUUGACAGAGGCCAAUCAUCCUCGACGUAUCCGUAUAAUCUCCAUCAAUACCUCUUAGAGGAAUGACAAGUCAUUGUUACAUUGAUCGAGGAUGAUCCAGCUAAUAAAUUGAUGAUUGGUCACAAAUGAAGUAAUCCACUAAUCAUGCUACCACGGCAAGCUAGUAUAUAUAUAUAUAAGCUCCGUUACUGAUUAGCAGAGGAAAUGUUCAGUGGCAG
This is a long non-coding RNA of Pistacia vera, 318 nucleotides long. RefSeq lists it as uncharacterized. The transcript is spliced from 3 exons. NCBI's taxonomy places the organism in Eukaryota, Viridiplantae, Streptophyta, Magnoliopsida, Sapindales, Anacardiaceae. The record is from RefSeq and is a predicted model, not a curated record.